This 894-nucleotide unclassified non-coding RNA is filed under the name Hevea brasiliensis (rubber tree). The record is from RNAcentral. Lineage: Eukaryota; Viridiplantae; Streptophyta; Magnoliopsida; Malpighiales; Euphorbiaceae.
UGAAAGCAGUAUAUGAUCAUGCCAUAGCAUCAGCCUGUCUUUUAGUCAAUUGUACAUACAGGCCAUCCUGACGAAGUAGUUCCCUGUGACUGCCAACCUGUGUGGCGUAAAAGGAAAAUUAUGUUCAUACACAAUUCAGGCUAAGAUCACCAAGUAUGCUUGGCAAAUAUUUCAGGUUUUCAGUCGCUUCCACCCAGAUUCAACAUAUCAAGGUUCCCUUAUUACAACAUUUCAGCGUAACAAGACAGAAAACUAUAUAACAAGCUAAGGACCUAAUGUUGGGUCAGUCGGGUACACUUGAAGGUAAUUGCAAGUGGGGUAAUGGGUUUCAUCAUCCAGGGUCCAGACCCUUCCCCUAAGAUCUAAGAAAAAGCAAUACAAUUUAUUCCUAUAACACAAUUAACAAAAGGAACUAAGCCACUGCUAUUGUGUUAUUGGCCAUAUAUUACAGAGGUCUGAAGUGUGUGCAUUAUACUUACAAGGGGUUCGUGAGGCCCAACAUCAACAAUUUAUAUGAAGAAAAAGAACAAAAUCUCUACUAUACCGUAAGAGAUAUUGUAGGAUAAAGGCCUUCAAGGUUCUUUUACUCAAGUGGGUAAAGCAUGAUGCUUAUUUGAGCAGCAUUAUGUGUUGUGAAUAUUACUUUGGAUGCAGAAAUUAUGUUCAAUAAAAAUGGACAGAGUUAGGAAUGGAAUAGAUAUUUAAGAAUUUCAAUGGGAUAGUCAGAGUGCCAACCUCAAAAUUUUGACCACCGUUCAUUACCACUGUUCUGCCAGCAGCUUGUAUUGCAGAAAGCCUGCAGAAAAUGAACCUGUCAAACUUCAACUCACACAACACACUGGAAAGAGGGUAGCUGAGACCUACCUGUGCGCAAUUACUAUGACAGUUCUCUUU